RNAcentral lists this ribosomal RNA (492 nucleotides) under uncultured bacterium. RNAcentral describes it as "partial 16S ribosomal RNA". It matches the Rfam family "Bacterial small subunit ribosomal RNA", at positions 29 to 507 of the family's 1533-position model. The record is from RNAcentral.
AGUGAACACUGGCGGUAGGCCUAACACAUGCCAGUCGAACGGCAGCACAGUAAGAGCUUGCUCUUACGGGUGGCGAGUGGCGGACGGGUGAGGAAUACAUCGGAAUCUACUUUUUCGUGGGGGAUAACGUAGGGAAACUUACGCUAAUACCGCAUACGACCUACGGGUGAAAGCAGGGGAUCUUCGGACCUUGCGCGAUUGAAUGAGCCGAUGUCGGAUUAGCUAGUUGGCGGGGUAAAGGCCCACCAAGGCGACGAUCCGUAGCUGGUCUGAGAGGAUGAUCAGCCACACUGGAACUGAGACACGGUCCAGACUCCUACGGGAGGCGGCAGUGGGGAAUAUUGGACAAUGGGCGCAAGCCUGAUCCAGCCAUACCGCGUGGGUGAAGAGGGCCUUCGGGUUGUAAAGCCCUUUUGUUGGGAAAGAAAAGCAGCAGGUUAAUACCCCGCUGUUCUGACGGUACCCAAAGAAUAAGCACCGGCUAACUUCGUG